RNAcentral lists this small RNA (29 nucleotides) under Bombyx mori (domestic silkworm). Its description in RNAcentral is "ovarian small RNA-12262". The record is from RNAcentral. Lineage: Eukaryota; Metazoa; Arthropoda; Insecta; Lepidoptera; Bombycidae.
AGUAUAUGUUAGUUUUUCAUUAGGAUGUC